RNAcentral lists this ribosomal RNA (451 nucleotides) under uncultured bacterium. RNAcentral describes it as "partial 16S ribosomal RNA". It matches the Rfam family "Bacterial small subunit ribosomal RNA", at positions 354 to 796 of the family's 1533-position model. The record is from RNAcentral.
GUGGGGAAUAUUGGACAAUGGGGGGAACCCUGAUCCAGCCAUGCCGCGUGUGUGAAGAAGGCCUUUUGGUUGUAAAGCACUUUAAGCGAGGAGGAGGCUACCGAGAUUAAUACUCUUGGAUAGUGGACGUUACUCGCAGAAUAAGCACCGGCUAACUCUGUGCCAGCAGCCGCGGUAAUACAGAGGGUGCAAGCGUUAAUCGGAUUUACUGGGCGUAAAGCGCGCGUAGGUGGCCAAUUAAGUCAAAUGUGAAAUCCCCGAGCUUAACUUAGGAAUUGCAUUCGAUACUGGAAAGCUAGAGUAUGGGAGAGGAUGGUAGAAUUCCAGGUGUAGCGGUGAAAUGCGUAGAGAUCUGGAGGAAUACCGAUGGCGAAGGCAGCCAUCUGGCCUAAUACUGACGCUGAGGUACGAAAGCAUGGGGAGCAAACAGGAUUAGAAACCCUUGUAGUCC